This is a long non-coding RNA of Hemicordylus capensis (graceful crag lizard), 603 nucleotides long. RefSeq lists it as uncharacterized. The transcript has 3 exons. NCBI's taxonomy places the organism in Eukaryota, Metazoa, Chordata, Lepidosauria, Squamata, Cordylidae. The record is from RefSeq and is a predicted model, not a curated record.
GGAAGAACAGCCGCCAUUCUCAGCAGCAACCAAAAGUUUGGAUCUGAAAUGCAGAGAUUUGCUUUGUAUCGCUUUCCCUAGAUGACACCUCUGGAAAAGCCGUGUUUAGGGGUAAUGAUGGCUGCUUGCCAGCUAUCUCCUCUGGGUGGAGUGUCACAAAUGGGAAGCAGAAACUUCCAUCCACAUGAGGAGGACUAACUCAUCUCUGACUGGAUUUUGGAGAGAAAGGCUACACUGGAGCCUUCCGUCCUGAUGCUGACCUGACAGUUCCAUGAGGGGCCCACAAGGUGAGAUGGUUCUACAGAACCUUGGAGAGCUCCAAGGGAACAAGGGGAUCUGAUAGAGCUCCAAAUGAGCACCUUUAUGUCUCCUGGCCCUGGCUAGCCUUCAUAGGCUCUCCUACUCCGGGAAGGCCCUUCCAUGGAACCAGAGCCCUUCUCCAUGGCAACUGACGUUUACCGGAAAGCAAGAAAAUCCUUCGUGCUGGAGGACUUAAACUGACUCGUUGUAGUUCAGCUAAACCACAAUAAAAGAGGCAAAUGCUUCCUUCAGUGCAGGGCUCCCUUUAAGGAAGUACUCGGGUCUCCAUCUGGGAAAACUAAA